CCAGAAAACAGAAGGAAACCUAAAGAGAGCAGGGCACGCAGCUCCUGCACUGGGCCCUGGGCGCCUCCCUGCGCAGAGGGCAGGACGGGGACCCUGCCGGCACCCCCAGACCCUGGCGCCUCCCGAAGCAGCCCCUGUGGCCGUGGCCUGGGCUACUGGCUCGACAGGCCUUUGAGCCACGGGGGCGGGGGAAGGCGCCAGAAGAAAGGGCAGGAAGGGGCCUGGGGCCCGGAAAGGGGGGCAGCCCCGCAGAGUGACUGCCCUCCCCCCAGGGCUUCCUGUGCUUCUCCCUCGUGUUCUGCGCGCUGGCUCAGGUGGCCUUCUGGAGACUGCGCAGCCCCAGCCAGGUGGAGGACGCCGUGCUGGACGUCUAUGACCUGGUGUACGAGCGGGCGCUGAGGGGCCCACCGGGCAGCGGGAGGCAGGAGCUGGCGGCCGUGCAGGACGCGGUGAGUGGGCAGAGCCAGGGCUGGUCAGCUCCCGCGGGCACUGGGCGGAGCCAAAGCCAGGCGCAGGGCAGGGGUCCUGGACACGGGCCCGCUGCCUCUGCCCCGCCUUGGUCCUUCUGAGAUGGGUCCCUGUCACC
RNAcentral lists this long non-coding RNA (586 nucleotides) under Dasypus novemcinctus (nine-banded armadillo). RNAcentral's name for it is "lncRNA (ENSDNOG00000052470.1)". Lineage: Eukaryota; Metazoa; Chordata; Mammalia; Cingulata; Dasypodidae. The record is from RNAcentral.